CCUACGGGAGGCAGCAGUGAGGAAUAUUGGUCAAUGGGCGAGAGCCUGAACCAGCCAAGUCGCGUGAGGGAGUACUGCCCUAUGGGUUGUAAACCUCUUUUGUCGGGGAGCAAAAGCCGGACGUGUCCGGCUGUGAGAGUACCCGAAGAAAAAGCAUCGGCUAACUCCGUGCCAGCAGCCGCGGUAAUACGGAGGAUGCGAGCGUUAUUCGGAUUUAUUGGGUUUAAAGGGUGCGCAGGCGGAUUUUUAAGUCAGCGGUAAAAUCGUGGGGCUCAACCCCAUCCAGCCGUUGAAACUGGGGAUCUAGAGUGUGCGAGAGGUAUGCGGAAUGCGUGGUGUAGCGGUGAAAUGCAGAGAUAUCACGCAGAACCCCGAUUGCGAAGGCAGCAUACCGGUGCACAACUGACGCUCAGGCACGAAAGCGUGGGUAUCGAACAGGAUUAGAUACCCCUGUAGUC
This 458-nucleotide ribosomal RNA is filed under the name uncultured bacterium. RNAcentral describes it as "partial 16S ribosomal RNA". It matches the Rfam family "Bacterial small subunit ribosomal RNA", at positions 338 to 795 of the family's 1533-position model. The record is from RNAcentral.